RNAcentral lists this unclassified non-coding RNA (669 nucleotides) under uncultured Campylobacterota bacterium. RNAcentral's name for it is "uncultured Epsilonproteobacteria bacterium partial 16S-23S ribosomal RNA intergenic spacer". The stretch from base 113 to 186 matches the Rfam family "tRNA". The record is from RNAcentral. Lineage: Bacteria; Pseudomonadati; Campylobacterota.
UUCGAGAUAUGGAAAAACAAUUCGUUUUGUUUUUCUAGAAUUAUGAAAUAAAAUAAAGAUAAGUUUUUCUCUUGUUUAGUUUGUAAAGAUUAUUAAAAACUCUGUCCAUCAAGGGACUAUAGCUCAGCUGGCUAGAGCGUUCGACUGAUAAUCGUGAGGUCUCAGGUUCAAGUCCUGAUAGUCCCACCAUUUUUAAAGUACUUUUAUAGCAUUUGCACUUACAAUAAAAACUCAUUUACUUUUAGUAAACUUCGUUUCCAUUGUAAGCACAACUACUACAAAAUUACUUUAAAAAUCUCAGUCGAAGGGGAAUUAGCUCAGCUGGGAGAGCGCCUGCCUUGCACGCAGGAGGUCAGCGGUUCGAUCCCGCUAUUCUCCACCAUAUCCACACACAAAUCCAUUAACCAAUAGUAUAAAAGUUAAAUAUAAGUCUUAAUUCCAAAAACACUAAGAUUUAUAUUUGAUUUUUUAAUCAAAGUGAUAUUUAAAAACAUAUUGUUAAAGUCUUUAAUUUCCUAUAGAGAUUAUCUAAGCAAUUAGAUAAUUAUUUAUAGAAAUAAAAAAAAUAAACUACGAAUUUUAUUAGAAACUUGUUUUUAAUAAGAUAGUAGCCAAAGAAUAAUCAUAACAAACAACAAAUGUAGUUAUUGGAGAUGAAUAGCAAUAUUU